RNAcentral lists this long non-coding RNA (668 nucleotides) under Numida meleagris (helmeted guineafowl). Its description in RNAcentral is "lncRNA (ENSNMEG00000000533.1)". The record is from RNAcentral. Lineage: Eukaryota; Metazoa; Chordata; Aves; Galliformes; Numididae.
GGGGGACACAGGGAUACAAGGACGUGAGACAUGGGACAUAGGGACACGGGGACACAGGGAUACGAGGACGUGAGACAUGGGACAUAGGGACACGGGGACACAGGGAUACGAGGAUGUGAGACAUGGGACAUGGGGACACAGGGACAUGGGGACACAAGGAUGUGAGACAUGGGACAUGGGGACACGAGGAUAUGGGGAUGCAGGGACAUGGGGACAUGAGACAUGGGACGUGGGAACACAGGGAUGUGGGGACAUGGGAACACAGGGAUGUGGAGACACAGGGAUGUGGGGACACAGGGACAUGGGGACACAGGGAUGUGGGGACACAGGGACAUGGGGACACAGGGACAUGGAGACACAGGGAUGUGCAGACAUGGGGACAUGAGGAUGUGGGGAGACAGGGACGUGGGGACAGGGGGACGUGGGGAUGUGGGACAUGGGGACAUGGGGAUGUGGGAGUCAUGGGGACAUGGGGGCAGGGGGACACAAGGAUGUGGGACAUGGGGACACAGAGACACAGGGACAUGGGGACAUGGGGAUGUGCAGACAUGGGGACAUGAGGAUGUGGGGGUCAUGGGGACACGGGGACAUGGGGACACGGGGACAUGGGGACACAGGGACAUGAGGAUGUGGGGGUCAUGGGGACACAGGGACAUGGGGACACAGGG